GGAAACCGGAGCGCCAGCUUCGGUGGAGGCAUCGGUGGGAUACUACCCUGGCUGUAUUGACCUUCUAACCCGCUGCCCUUAUCGGGCAGGGAGACAGUGUCAGGUGGGCAGUUUGACUGGGGCGGUCUCCUCCUAAAAGGUAACGGAGGCGCCCAAAGGUUCCCUCAGAAUGGUUGGAAAUCAUUCGCAGAGUGUAAAGGCACAAGGGAGCUUGACUGCGAGACCUACAAGUCGA
Molecule: ribosomal RNA, 235 nt
Filed under: Bacillus licheniformis
Lineage: Bacteria; Bacillati; Bacillota; Bacilli; Caryophanales; Bacillaceae
Description: partial 23S ribosomal RNA
Rfam family: Bacterial large subunit ribosomal RNA
Source: RNAcentral